AAGAGCACCUAUUAUGGGAUACACGUUUUUAAACAUCCUUUUGUGUGUAAGUGUGCAUUAGUACAUGCUAACGAUAUUCAAAAAGUACAUACCUCAAAGAAAACGAUGACGCGAGUUAUCGUCUCUAACGUUCGAGGACUACAAAAAACACUCGGAUUGUAGGCAACAGUUUACUUCCUGGGAUUAGUGACGUAGAUAAGACCAACAUUAUCAUAGUUCAGCCCUCUCUGCUUUGCUUGGGUACGCCCUCAAAGACGGGGGUGGGGAGCGCCGAGUCAGAAGAGAGCUAAAAUGGCGGAGGUUGUGAGUCCCUGCUUUGACUCUGUUUGCAAACUCUUGUUUCAUUGUUUAAGCGAUUAAAUCUCUCGAGUAGACGCUGUCUCUUUAGAUGCGAGGGCAAAAUAGCACUUUAUGGACUUCCACAGAGGACAUCGUGUUUAAUACGGUUCCGGAAAAAUCCAGUCAGAAGUUGUUCACGGAGUUUUCACAAUAACUGCUUCUCAUGAACCGAAGCUGGAUUUGCGCAACGUCUCCUCUUGAAAGUUGGAUUACUGUGCACUUCUGGAUCACAGGCUGUAAGUAUUCACGUUUAUUAUUUGCCUUUUACUGUACAUUACGUAACCGGUAACCGGAGAUUAACAUAAUGUGCGUGUAGAGCUAAGCUUGCAAGCUAAUUGUUUUGUGUUGUAAUACUGUAUUUCAUAAACAACGUACCAUAUUUACACACGUGUAUGUUGAAUUAUGCAGACUAUCGCUUUUUUAUCGAUGUUGGUUUAGACAUGUUUACAAACUUGCUAAGUUGCUAAGCUAAAUACAAAUACAAAUGCCAGCUAAACUGUUACCGGUAAAAUUUGUUCUCAUGAUCAAACUAAAGAAACUCUAAGUACAGAUGAUUUGUUUAAAGUUAUAUGUAUUUACUGUUGUAUUUACUUGAAGCUUUCUUAGAUUUUGAAACGAAGUAAACAUGUAAUGUGUGUUGCUAAUGUUGGGCCAUGUAAUAUGUAAUACAUUUACGUUUUAAUGAAUAGUCUAACGAUUUAUAGUCGUUGUACUCUAUUGUUAUAAUAUGUCUUUUUGACUGAAUACAUGUUUGUUUUAUUUGUCUAUAUCCUAGAUUCGCAGCUGGACACAUCCUUCUACACUGUAUGCAAACAUGCAACAUCAUUACACACAGUACAAGGAGUCAGACUGGCAUAUGAGGAGCAAAGGAACCCAGGCAGUAGCAUCGUUUCACAAUGUUUCCAUCACCAUCAUCAGUGGAUGCCUUUGCCGUCCGUAGCCUGAGAUUUCAGAUUUGCAGCAAAAAAAUUUUUAUUUUCUCAUUUAUUGGAAUGCUGUGCAGGUAUUUGUACGUUGCAGCCAUCCAUUACAAUGUCACCAAGCCGUAACAAAAGCAGGAGAGGGAAAGUACAAGGCUAUGUUCCCAAAACACACAAGUGACAUACCUUAUGUGGAGGAUGUGAUCAGGCUUGUGUUUGAUGAGGUUUUGAAGAUAAGCUGAGGGAAACCCCGAUUCCAAUGGACCUGGCAUCACAGUUUGAGAGACCUUCAAAGGAGGACGUGAUUGCAUGCCAUCUUCAGUGCAGGGGUCGUCGAAAGCCAAAAUUGUGACCGAUCUGAUCAGGAAGCUCCAAGCGUAUCUGGAGAACAACACACGACAGGAUGAUAACCUUAUAGUGUCGUCUUAAAUAGCACCAGCUGACAAAGCUUUG
Paramisgurnus dabryanus is the source of this 1712-nucleotide non-coding RNA. Lineage: Eukaryota; Metazoa; Chordata; Actinopteri; Cypriniformes; Cobitidae. The record is from RefSeq and is a predicted model, not a curated record.